GUUAUUGAUUUUUGACAAAUAGCCACCGCAGUGUCCAUUCAGAGCCCAGAACGAGGAUUAAUGCAUCGCUAUUACUGAUGUGUGGUAGGAUUAGUGUAAUACUGUGCGGUUGCGUUAAUGAAUCAUUAAACACUGACUUAUUUUCUGUCCCAACUCGAUGUAAACAACAACAGACCCCGCUGUGUUUAUGUGUCCUGAAACGAGGCGGAGUGAGACGUCUCGUUUCGCGGCCGUGUUCUCGGCGCUGCCCCCUAACGGUCCGGGGAGGAAGCGUCGACCUGGGCGCAGAGAGCGGCCACAUUAAACAGUCCGUUUCACCUCGACUCGUUCGUUGUGGUGCAGACAAACAGGAGAGGAGACACGAGAAAGAAGAGUUUGUUUUAUUAAUAGCUGGGACUGAAUCUGUGGUACCGACACUCCGAAGCACAAGAUGGCGGCAUCGCGCUUCCAACGCUGGAACCAACCGCCGUUUAAAAACAGGACGAAGAAGAUGAAAGACGCGGGUGUAAACAAACCGUGACUUUCGGUGUUUCGGCGGGUUAAAUCUGGGUUAAAUAAGAAGAUGGCGACCUUCAGCAGACGGGCUCUGGACAGGAUCUACUCUGUGGUCUUGCUGGCUGUUGUGGUCUUGUCCUGGUCUUACGUGAUCUACGCCAGCAGGAUCGCAGCUCAUUGGCUGCUGGAGAAGAGGACCGCCCUCCUCCAGCAAGGCUGACGGCUCAUUGGCCCGCCGACACAGAUAUGUAAAUGAACGGCGAGGGCGAGCGAGGUUCUUUCGGCUGACUGUGAACGAACACUGAUCGCAACUGAAGAAACGCAUCAAACGGUGAACUCGGGGAUCAGACCGGAUCCAGGAGAUCGUCGUUCAGAAUCCCCGGUAUGGUGGAAUACAGCUCUCGCUCGUUCUCCGCCUCUGCCUCCGUCUCCACGGCGAUGUGUUUGGGCAUCUUGGCGUCGGGGUUAACGUCCUUGGAGACCAGAGACGUCUUCUUCCCCUCCAGCCAGUAAGUCACCAUGUCACCUUUCCCCUGUUGGAGACAGACAGCGUCACUGGGCUGAGCUCCCAGUGCUCCCAGUGCCCGGCAGAACUGGACUGUGGUGGGAGCGGGCUCACCUUGACCUGCAGCGUCCCUCUGCACUCCAGCACGUAGCCGCCGAUCUCCUCCAGCAGGUAAAACGCGCUGGAGCUGCACUGGAUCUUCAGGGCUGCAAAGGCAGCGACGCAGCGUUAGCAUGUUCAUAAAGCAACAUGCCGCUGGUUUUAGCUCUGGUUUUAGUCCAGAAACAAAUACAGUUUACAUAUUCUACGUUACUGCAGUUGGUUUCGGUUCUUUUCCGUGAUCUACGGGGUCAGGGUGCUUAAUAACAGAGCCACAGCAGCAGACCUGGGAUCAGUAGCCCAGCAGCCUGUGCGCUGAAUAUAAUAUGGAUGAAACAAUUGAUUUUGAGUGUUACCCAGACUGGUGGACUCCAUCCUGGAUGCUGUGUUGACUGUAUCUCCAAACAGACAGUAACGAGGCAUCUUCGUCCCUACAACCCCCGCCACCACCGGACCUGAGAGAGAGAGAGAGAGAGACGUUAAAAGAGCGGGAAAAUGGGUUUAAUGACAGAUUCUGAUUUGUUUUUUUAGCAACUUCUGUGCACCGGAGUACAUGUUGUUUGAAACGUGUGUGUACCGGAGUGUAUCCCCGCUCGGAUCUGCAGCUGUGUGUUGGGUUUGUGGGGGAUCCUGAAGGUGCGACAGACGCCCACCAGGUCCAGAGCCAUGCUGGCGAUCUCUGAGGCGUGGAGGAUCCCGUUCUCCAGAGGAACACCAGACACCACCAUGUCUACACGACCACACGAUGAUACAGCGUCGCCGAUGGUUUCCACCUUGUACACGUCGUAGUUGUCGAUGAUGUCGUCAAACGUCGUGUAGAGUUUGUUGAGGAGGUCGACGACCUGGUAAGGAGUGCUGCUGCUGGACAGCUGCGUGAAGCCCACGAUAUCGCUGCACACACACACACACACAUACUUUAGACUUAAUACUUUGAUUUCUUCUCGUUCCACGAUGACCCUCAAGGAGGUAAAUGGACAUAGUUGCACAUAAAAAGAGAAAAGAAACAGAAAUAAAGUAAGUAGACACUUGUCACCCAGUGAUGGACAAAUACAGAACAAUAAAGACGAAAAUGUAUAUAAACACAAAUAUGCAGACAAGCAAAAUAUUCAGUACAGUAAAAGUAGCCAUUAUUAUUCUAACAAACUUUUAUCUUUGAUGUUCUUAGUGUUAAAUAAUUUUUAACAGUGCUUGGAUUAAUUAUAUAGUAUCAUUUAACUCUUCUGUUUCGCUCAUUGUCAAAACAAAUUAAUAUACGAUGAUAUUAAUGAAAUUAAAAAGGCAGAUUAUGACUUGCACAUGUGAAACAGUCAGUUCCUGUCUCUGCUACCUGAAGAAGACGGUGGCGCUGACGUAACUCUGAGCCUGCAGCGGCUUCCCCUGCCGCAGGUCAUCAGCCACCUGUUUAGGAAGCAUACCUGCAACACAAACAUAUUUUUAUUUUAAUUAACCAGGAAGUCUCUUCAGAUACAUUAUCUCUUUUACAGGAGAGAACUGGCCAAAUGGCAGCGUAGAGUAGUUAACACACGAGUCCAAAUGAAGCGCAAAUUUUAAUGCGAAUUUCCAGAAAAUCAUCCAAAGAAAACGUGACUCGCUGCUUGUUUCCAUCCACUGCUGCUGUUUGAACAUGAGCUCGCUGCCAUUAAACCAUCGCAGAAAAAGAGUACGCAACGAGAUGACGUCAUUAAAAAGAGCUCCAGUCGAAGCUCAGACGAUGGAAAACCAGCUGGAUGGAAACGCACGAAGAGAACAGCCGUAAAGGAGAGAGCGCGACUAUUUAAACGGGUUCAUCGUGAAACGUUUUUUUGAAUGUGGAGUUUGAAUGCUUGAUAUGAAAGCAGCGUUUUAGUAGUGAGUCCGACGCAUGCGUACACAGGAUGUCACCAUAAUCCAGAACAAAUAAAAAUGUGGACUGAGUAAUAUUUUUUCUUGCUGCAAAGGGAAAGCAUUUCUUAAAAGGGAAAUAAAAAAACUAUUUGGGUUUGUGUUUCUGUGUGGAAAGUUAAUUUGUCAUUCAGAGACUCAGUCCCGCCUGUCGUUUCAAUACGAGUAAUGUUAUCUACCUUUUGUACAGAAAGUUGAGAUGGAGAAAGUUAUACAUUUGUUGUUUUGUGUAUUCGGGGUUGAUUUUAAUUGUUAAAAUGUUAACUGGUGUUUGUGGAGGCAGUUUGGAGAUUGGUUGGUUUAAACGGGGCAACUGUAUAGAUAACUGUAUCAUCUGCAUAUAAAUACAUCUUUUCUGGGUUUCUUCCAAUGUUGUUUAUAAGAAUAGAAACCUGCACCUGCAACUCAAAACCAGAAAAUUAUUAUUAUUAACACAAUGAAAGUAUACAUGAUUAACAUGUAACAUUUUGUAUUGCAGCUUAAACUUCAGCUGGACAUCAGUAACUAAACUGGCGUGAUGAACAGGUGUGUAUAUGUGUGAGUCGUACUGUAUAGCAGCCUGUCAGUCCUCUGUUUCUCAUGCAUCAGAUCCUGAGUCCGCUCGGCCACCAACACCUCCAGAUGUUUACUGUACUUCUCCAUCUGAAACAGAGACAGUUGUACCUUCAUAUUACACUGAGUUGGGAUUUGUUUUGAUAUGAUACAAAACAGUCGUCAUGUGACUAAAUCGUGUGGCUACACACAACUCGACAGUACAUGCACUACUACUCAUUACUUAUGUUAUUACAUUGUAUUAUUAUACUGUAUUAUCAUCAUCAACCGGUAAACCCACUUGGCACUUCACACUUAUUUUAUCUUAUACUUAUACCUGGUACUUAAUUUAUUUUCUGACCUGUUUUAUAGUGUAUUGUAUCAUAUUGUUUGCUAGUACUUUCUCCUGUGUGCACUGACGUAAUGGUGAGCUGCUGUAACAAAGAGUUUCCCUUCGGGGUUCAAUGAAGUAUUUCUGAUUCUGAUUUAAAUAAAAAUUCCUAGAAGGAAACUUCAGUUCGCAGUGCAGAAUCAUCUAUAAACACCCAGUGAUCUGGUCAGAGCCCUGGAUUUUAAUAAGGUGGUGGAUGGUUUUGUGCAGAAACCAGUGAGAAAGAAACACUAGCUUUAAGGUAAGACAGCUCACACUGUUACAGCAUGUUUAUUGCUAUUUAAUAUUGUAAACAUUUGUCAGGCUCUGUGAUCGGUGCAGACUGAUGGCUUUGGAUGGAAAUCACUUUAUUACACUGGUAAUAUUUCAGAGAAACAUGAUCAAACAGGUGUGCAAAGUCUCUUUUCAUGGUCCUGUGUGGCUGAUAAAUAAUACUGAUUAAAUCCUGUACUGACACAA
This is a long non-coding RNA of Siniperca chuatsi (mandarin fish), 4361 nucleotides long. RefSeq lists it as uncharacterized. The transcript has 5 exons. The record is from RefSeq and is a predicted model, not a curated record. Lineage: Eukaryota; Metazoa; Chordata; Actinopteri; Centrarchiformes; Sinipercidae.